GACGAACGCUGGCGGCGUGCUUAACACAUGCAAGUCGAACGGAAAGGCCUGCUUUCCCUUGUGGAUUGCGGGUACUCGAGUGGCGAACGGGUGAGUAACACGUGAGUGAUCUGCCCCCAACUUGGGUAUAAGCCUGGGAAACUGGGUCUAAUUCCCGAUAGGACUGCAGGGUGGUGCCUGUGGUGGAAAACGAUUUUCUAGUGGUUGGGGAUGAGCUCGCGGGCUAUCAGCUUGUUGGUGGGGUAAUGGCCGACCAAGGCGGCGACGGGUAGCCGGCCUGGGAGGGUGGACGGCGACAUUGGGACUGAGAUACGGCCCAGACGCCUACGGGAGGCAGCAGUGGGGAAUAUUGCACAGUGGGCGGAAGCCUGAUGCAGCGACGCCGCGUGGGGGAUGCCGGCCUUCGGGUUGUAAACUCCUUUCGACCGCGAGGAAGCCACCUGGUUGGAAGGGUGGUGACGGUAGUGGUAGAAGAAGCACCGGCUAACUACGUG
Molecule: ribosomal RNA, 494 nt
Filed under: uncultured bacterium
Lineage: Bacteria
Description: partial 16S ribosomal RNA
Rfam family: Bacterial small subunit ribosomal RNA
Source: RNAcentral